This 523-nucleotide ribosomal RNA is filed under the name uncultured Rhodopseudomonas sp. RNAcentral describes it as "bacterial SSU rRNA". It matches the Rfam family "Bacterial small subunit ribosomal RNA", at positions 75 to 638 of the family's 1533-position model. The record is from RNAcentral. Lineage: Bacteria; Pseudomonadati; Pseudomonadota; Alphaproteobacteria; Hyphomicrobiales; Nitrobacteraceae.
CGUAGCAAUACGUCAGUGGCAGACGGGUGAGUAACGCGUGGGAACGUACCUUUUGGUUCGGAACAACUGAGGGAAACUUCAGCUAAUACCGGAUAAGCCCUUACGGGGAAAGAUUUAUCGCCGAAAGAUCGGCCCGCGUCUGAUUAGCUAGUUGGUGAGGUAAUGGCUCACCAAGGCGACGAUCAGUAGCUGGUCUGAGAGGAUGAUCAGCCACAUUGGGACUGAGACACGGCCCAAACUCCUACGGGAGGCAGCAGUGGGGAAUAUUGGACAAUGGGGGCAACCCUGAUCCAGCCAUGCCGCGUGAGUGAUGAAGGCCCUAGGGUUGUAAAGCUCUUUUGUGCGGGAAGAUAAUGACGGUACCGCAAGAAUAAGCCCCGGCUAACUUCGUGCCAGCAGCCGCGGUAAUACGAAGGGGGCUAGCGUUGCUCGGAAUCACUGGGCGUAAAGGGUGCGUAGGCGGGUUUCUAAGUCAGAGGUGAAAGCCUGGAGCUCAACUCCAGAACUGCCUUUGAUACUGGAA